CCAAUAGCGUAUAUUAAAGUUGUUGCAGUUAAAAAGCUCGUAGUUGAAUUUCGGAAUUUGUCGGUUGGUCGGGCUUCACUGUCCGCACUGACCUGAUGGAUUCCUACCUUCUGAAUAACCAGCAUGCUAUUAAGUUAGUGCGUUGGGGAAGCAGAGCUAUUACCUUGAAAAAAUUAGAGUGCGUAAAGCAGGCUUGUGCUUGAAUAGAUUAGCAUGGAGUAAUAAAAUAGGACGGCAUGGUUCUAUUUUGUUGGUUUCUAGGAUCACCGUAAUGAUUAAUAGGGAUAGUUGGGGGCAUUAGUAUUCAAUUGUCAGAGGUGAAAUUCUUGGAUUUAUUGAAGACUAACUUCUGCGAAAGCAUUUGCCAAGGAUGUUUUCAUUAAUCAAGAACGAAAGUUAGGGGAUCGAAGACGAUCAGAUACCGUCGUAGUCUUAACCAUAAACUAUGCCGACUAGGGAUCGGACGAUGUUAAUUUUUUAAUGACUCGUUCGGCGCCUUACG
Molecule: ribosomal RNA, 502 nt
Filed under: uncultured Glomeromycotina
Lineage: Eukaryota; Fungi; Glomeromycota
Description: partial small subunit ribosomal RNA
Rfam family: Eukaryotic small subunit ribosomal RNA
Source: RNAcentral